UACGAAGGUCCCAAGCGUUAUCCGGAUUUAUUGGGCUUAAAGGGUGCGUAGGCGGGCUAUCAAGUCAGUGGUGAAAUCUCCGAGCCUAACUCGGAAAUUGCCAUUGAUACUGAUGGUCUUGAGUACAUUUGAAGUGGGCGGAAUGUGUCAUGUAGCGGUGAAAUGCUUAGAUAUGACACAGAACACCGAUUGCGUAGGCAGCUCACUAAACUGUAACUGACGCUGAGGCACGAAAGCGUGGGGAGCAAACAGG
This 253-nucleotide ribosomal RNA is filed under the name uncultured bacterium. RNAcentral describes it as "partial 16S ribosomal RNA". It matches the Rfam family "Bacterial small subunit ribosomal RNA", at positions 524 to 776 of the family's 1533-position model. The record is from RNAcentral.